This is an RNA transcript of Oryza brachyantha (malo sina), 3051 nucleotides long. It is a transcript of the gene named SART-1 family protein DOT2, with no coding region annotated. Lineage: Eukaryota; Viridiplantae; Streptophyta; Magnoliopsida; Poales; Poaceae. The transcript has 14 exons. The record is from RefSeq and is a predicted model, not a curated record.
ACUCUGUCCCCCUUGGCUCGCCUCCGCCUCUGCCUCCCUUCCAGUUCCCCACGCCGCCUGCGCCGAGCUCCACCCCGCGAGCGAGCGGCGCCGCCGCCGCCGUCCUGCUGCCUCCGCCGCAUCCUCUCCGUUUGGCGGUCCAGCUCGAGCCGCCGCCAUGUCGCACGUCAGGUCCUCCUCCGAUAGGCACCGGGACAAGGAGAAGGAUAGAAGGGAUACACACAGGAGGGAGGACAAGGAUCACCACAGCAGCGGGAGGAGGGACCGGGACAAGGACAGGGAGAAGGAUAAGGAUGACAGGAGGGAGAAGGACAAGGAUGACAGGAGGGAGAAGGAGAGGGACUCGGAGCGCGGCCGCGGUGGCCGUGACCGUGAUCGAGGCAAGGACCGAGAUAGGGGAGAACCGGAGCGGGACAAGGAGAGGGAGCGGAAGGACAGGGAUAAGGAGAAGAGCCGUAGUAGCAGGGACAAGAGCAAGGAUGAGAGGGAGGAUAAUAAAGAUAGGGAGAAGUCGUCGAGGGGCAAGGACAGGGGAGGAGAUGAUGUUGGGGAUCUGUCUAAGGUUGAUGAUGGGAAUCAGAAGAAGCGAGUCGAUGCUCCGGUGGAGGCUGAGAAGCCCUCUACGGUCGAGCUCAGGGAGCGCAUUUCUAGGUCAAGGGAGGAAAGAUUGAAUGAUAAAAAGCAAGAAGGAAUACUGGAUGAUAAUGAUGAUGCUGAUGAGAUACUAUCAUGGGUGGGUAAGAGUCGUAAACUUGAUGAAAAAAGGGAAGCAGAAAAGGAGAAAGCAUUACGUCGUGCUCGAGCAUUGGAGGAACAGGACAACAUUUUAGCAGAAAAUGAUGAGGACGAUGAUGAUGAGGAGCAACAAGAGGAUAAUCGAGUAGGAGAGCACUUAUCUGGUGUGAAGGUUCUUCAUGGACUUGAUAAAGUUAUGGAAGGUGGUGCAGUUGUCAUGACCCUAAAAGAUCAAAGCAUUCUAGCUGAUGGGGAUAUCAAUCAAGAGGUUGAUAUGCUUGAGAACAUUGAGAUUGGUGAGCAGAAGCAAAGGAACGAAGCUUACAAGGCUGCGAAGAAGAAAGGAACAUAUGAUGACAAGUUUAAUGAUGAUCCGUUCUCAAAGAAGCCUAUACUUUCGCAAUAUGAUGACCCAAUGGAAGACGAGGGAGUGACACUUGAUGAAGGUGGACGUUUCAGUGGUGAAGCAGAAAAAAAGCUGGAAGAGCUCCGCAAAAGAAUUGAAGGCGGGCAUGUGCAGAAAAAGACUGAAGACCUUACUUCUGCUGCAAAGAUGGCAUCAGACUACUACACUCAAGCUGAAAUGCUUCAAUUUAAAAAGCCGAAGAAAAAGAAAUCCCUUAGAAAGAAAGAAAAGCUUGAUCUGGAUGCACUUGAGUCCGAAGCUAUUGCUGCUGGAUUGGGUGUGGGUGAUCUUGGAUCCAGGAAUGAUGCAAAACGGCAAUCUGCUAGGGAGGAAGAGCAAAAGGCUGAUGCUGAAAAGAGAAACUAUGGGUAUCAAGCAGCUAUUGCAAAGGCUGAAGAAGCAUCAAAAGCAUUACGUCAGGAGAAAAAUGUUUCUGGUAAACAAGAUGAACCUGAAAAACUAGUUUUUGGUGACGAUUACGAAGAUUUGCAGAAAUCUCUGGAACAAGCUAGGAAAUUAGCUCUAAAGAAACAGGAAGAGACUGCUGCAUCUGGCCCUCUGGCUGUAGCAGAACUGGCUACUGCAAGAUUAGGUCAAAAAGAUGCAGAUGCUGCAGAAGGAGAGGGACAGCAAAAUAAGGUUGUUAUCACGGAGAUGGAAGAGUUUGUGUGGGGCCUACAGUUGAAUGAAGAGACACGCAAACCAGAAGCUGAAGGUGUGUUUAUGGAUGAAGAUGAUGACAUGAUCUUGACAGAUACUGUAGCAAAAGAUGACAUGAAUGGUCUUGCCGUGGUCAAAGAGGAAACUAACAUUGAAGGCCCUGUGAAGGAUGAAGAGGAAGAAGAGGUAAAACCAGAUGACAUUGUACAUGAAGCUGCAGUUGGCAAGGGUUUGGCUGGUGCUUUGAAGUUUCUGAAGGAGCGAGGGACCCUCAAUGAGGGCACAGAUUGGGGAGGCAGAACCACAGACAAGAAGAAAAGCAAGCUUGCUGGUAUUGAGGAUGGGCCAAAAGAUAUUCGCAUAGAAAGGAUCGAUGAAUUUGGUCGAGUGAUGACACCAAAAGAGGCAUUUCGGGAUCUUUCACACAAAUUCCAUGGCAAGGCACCAGGUAAAAUGAAGCAGGAAAGGCGCCAAAAGAAGUAUCGCGAUGAGUUGAAAACCAAGCGAAUGAUAUCUUCUGACACGCCAUUAAUGUCUGCGGAAAAGAUGAGAGAGGCUCAAGCUCUCAGCAAAACACCAUACCUUGUCUUAAGUGGCAAUGCAAAAUCAGGUCAAACGAGCGAUGCCAGCGGUUUUGCUACAGUGGAGAAAGAGCAUCCUGGGAGUCUGACACCCAUGCUUGGGGCCAAAAAGGUUGAGCACUUUUUGGGUAUCAAACGAAGCGCCCAGGGUGGAGGCUUGCCUCCACCACCUCCAAAGAAGCCUAAGAACUGAACAUGCAUGGAUUUGGUUGAGUGCAAAUCUGUUAGCAUUCUAGUGCCAUCUAUUGCUGUGGUUUGGAGCAGACCUGGAAUGAUAAAACACCGCCAGAAGCUUUGAUGAAGUAGCUCCAAAUGCACUAACAUAGUCAGAACAAUAUAGAAGUGGACUUAAAUGUUGUCUUACCUCCACAUCAGUUGUGUUUAAGCUGGACAUACGAGUUACGAUUGCUGACAAACUUUAUAGUGUCUUUCACUUGUGUUCGUCAAAAAAGCAUAUGUAGGUGGAUUGGAUGGCCAGUGUUGCCCACCACUUUUUGUAGAUAUUUGUGUUGGAGUUACUAAAAGCCUUGUCGCAUUUUUUGAAGAUCUGUACCACAUACCAGUGUGCAAGGUUCAAAUCCACUUGGACACUUUGGUAGGUAUCAGUAACAAUCAAUUUUACCACUUCACCCUUAACCAACUCUUUGUCGAUGGGGUCAAUUGCAUGGU